GAUGAACGCUAGCUAUAGGCUUAACACAUGCAAGUCGAGGGGAAACGGCAGAGAGUGCUUGCACACUUUGGACGUCGACCGGCGCACGGGUGAGUAACGCGUAUCCAACCUGCCCUUUACUUGGGGAUAACCCGUUGAAAGACGGACUAAUACCCAAUGAUAUUCAUUGAUGACAUCUGAUUUGAAUUAAAGAUUUAUCGGUAUAGGAUGGGGAUGCGUCUGAUUAGCUUGUUGGUGAGGUAACGGCUCACCAAGGCAACGAUCAGUAGGGGUUCUGAGAGGAAGGUCCCCCACAUUGGAACUGAGACACGGUCCAAACUCCUACGGGAGGCAGCAGUGAGGAAUAUUGGUCAAUGGGCGAGAGCCUGAACCAGCCAAGUAGCGUGCAGGAUGACGGCCCUAUGGGUUGUAAACUGCUUUUAUGUGGG
RNAcentral lists this ribosomal RNA (428 nucleotides) under uncultured Bacteroidales bacterium. Its description in RNAcentral is "bacterial SSU rRNA". It matches the Rfam family "Bacterial small subunit ribosomal RNA", at positions 28 to 444 of the family's 1533-position model. Lineage: Bacteria; Pseudomonadati; Bacteroidota; Bacteroidia; Bacteroidales. The record is from RNAcentral.